UGUGUCAUGCGCGUGAACCCCGUAGGGCCGGGGAGGCACCAGCUGCCGCGCGGGGAGGAGGCCGAGGCCGCAGCUUGAGGGAGGCCCCGGCUCCUCUGCGCCUGUGUCUGGCAGAGCCAGUAUGAGACAAAGAGACAAUCCUUCCCUGCCGCCCGGAUAAUCAAGAGUUUUGGCCAGACCUUUGAGCACACACCUAGAGAGUGAGGAGCCAGACGAAAAGCACAGACUAUGGCGCUGAAACGGAUUAAUAAGGAAUUUAGUGAUUUGACCCGUGACCCUCCAGCACAAUGUUCUGCAGGUCCAGUUGGGGAUGAUAUGUUUCAUUGGCAAGCCACAAUUAUGGGACCUAAUGACAGCCCAUAUCAAGGCAGUGUAUUCUUUUUGACAAUUCAUUUUCCUACAGACUACCCCUUCAAACCACCUAAGGUUGCAUUUACAACAAGAAUUUAUCAUCCAAAUAUUAACAGUAACGGCAGCUUUUGUCUCGGUAUUCUAAGAUCACAGUGGUCUCCUGCUUUAACUAUUUCUAAAGUUCUUUUAUCCAUUUGUUCACUGCUAUGUGAUCCAAACCCAGAUGACCCCCUAGUGCCAGAGAUUGCACGGAUCUAUAAAACAGAGAUAAGUACAAAAGAAUAUCUCGGGAAUGGACUCAGAAGUAUGCCAUGUGAUGCUACCUUAAAGUCAGAAUAAUCUCCAUUAUAGCUGGAAUAAACUUUAAAUUACUGUUCCUUUUUUGAUUUUCUUAUCGGCUGCUCCCCUAUCAGACCUCAUCUUUUUUAAUUUUAUUUUUUGUUUACCUCCCUCCAUUCAUUCACAUGCUCAUCUGAGAAGACUUAAGUUCUUCCAGCUUUGGACAAUAACUGCUUUUAGAAACUGUAAAGUAGUUACAAGAGAACAGUUGCUCAAGACUCAGAAUUUUUAAAAAAAUGGAGCAUGUGUAUUAUGUGGCCAAUGUCUUCACUCUAUCUUGGUUAUGAGACUAAAACCAUUCCUCACUGCUCUAACAUGCUGAGGAAAUCAUCUGAGGGGGAGGGGGAGGGAGAUGGAUGCUCAGUUGUCACAUCAAAGGAAGCAGCAUUAUUCUAGCAUCCAGUCUUUUUUUAAGCCUUCCACUGUUAGAGAUUUGAGGUUACAUGAUAUACUUUAUGCUCAUAACUGAUGUGGCUGGAGAAUUGGUAUUGAAUUUAUAGCAUCAGCAGAACAGAAAAUGUGAUGUAUUUUAUGCAUGUCAAUAAAGGAAUGACCUGUUCUUGUUCUACAGAGAAUGGAAAUUGGAAGUCAAACACCCUUUGUAUUCCAAAAUAGGGUCUCAAACAUUUUGUAAUUCUCAUUUAAACUGUUAGGAGGCUUGGAGCUAUUAGUUAAUCUAUCUUCCAAUACACUGUUUAAUAUAGCA
Molecule: non-coding RNA, 1396 nt
Organism: Callorhinus ursinus (northern fur seal)
Lineage: Eukaryota; Metazoa; Chordata; Mammalia; Carnivora; Otariidae
Source: RefSeq, a predicted model, not a curated record